Passer domesticus (house sparrow) is the source of this 5961-nucleotide RNA transcript. It is a transcript of the gene named ankyrin repeat domain-containing protein 9-like, with no coding region annotated. The transcript is spliced from 2 exons. The record is from RefSeq and is a predicted model, not a curated record. NCBI's taxonomy places the organism in Eukaryota, Metazoa, Chordata, Aves, Passeriformes, Passeridae.
AGUAUUUUACACUGCUACAUAUUUUUUACUAUAUAAUGAGCUGCGUGUGUGUGAGUGACAUAAAAAAACCCCCAUAAAAUAGCAGAACAUUGCUAUUCCACUUGCUGCAGUGUAUGAGCUGAUCUGGUUAGACACGAAAUGCAGACAGAAAUCCGCCUCACCUCUCAAGCUAAUUUUAGUCUCUCCCUCUGUUCUCUGUGGCUGUGUGUGUAUAAAAUCACUGGCAGUCUGACAGCGUUUCAGUAACCUGUGCCACGAGCAGAGCGGGAUGUACUCACCAACCAUCUGCUUGCAUGGCACGGGUUAACUGAGCCUGUGGGAUUGUGCUUACCUAAACAAAACCACUGCAGUGAGGGGAAAAACAAUGAAUGGGUGGAGAUGAUCAGCCCAUGCAUUCCAGCUAGUGCAGUCCAGGCAGCAAUGACAGCCUGAAGGUUGCAGCAGCAUCGGGAUCAGCAUUCCAAGUGCACCAAUCUUACAGUCUGGAGUGAUUUUACGUGGAGCUGUUCUUUAUUUGCUGAGCCAUGGCCAGUAACCAGGCCAGCCUGCAGGAUGAUCAGAGCAGGCACUGCAAGUUCUUAUCCUACAUGUUCUAUCAGGCUGUGAGAGAUCACAAGCCUGUGUGGAUGCUGGAAGACAUGAGAACUAUGGAGUAUUUUUACUGGGAGGAAAAUGCUAGCCUACGAACCUACUCACCUUCAGAAGCCCUUCUCUAUGCAGUGGUGCAUAAUCACCUGCCUUAUGCUCAGUAUCUGCUGUCUCAUUUUCCAGAGGAGGCUCUCAAGGUGCCUGGGGAGCACUUCUGCUAUUGCCCAUCCUCUGCUCCUCACCUGGCCAUGGCGGUCACAUAUGACAGGAGAGAUAUCUUGGGACUGAUCAUCAAAAUUGCACACAAGCUCCCCAGCUUGAACUCCUAUAUCAAUAGGGCUGGCUGCUUUCAUCUGGAAGAUGGGAAAACACCCCUGCACCUUGCCUGCGAACUGCUGAGGUCAGAGACGGUCCUCAUCCUCCUCGGGAACGGAGCAUCUCCCAGGAUAGAGGACAGCAAAGGGCUGACCCCGCUGGACGUCAUCCUGGAGCAGAUGUGGGACUCCAAAGUCAAUGUCGCAUCAAAGAAGCUCUGCCUCGACUACCUCUUGCUCUUCAUGCCCAACCCACAGUUUAAGAUGCGGAAAGUUCUGCAGGAGCAUCCAGACCACUGGACAGCUUUGCUGGGAGAAGACAAAUUCAACAGCCUGGUGGGGAACACACCUGCUUCUUUAUAUCUGCAAGCUAUGCAAACUAUUCUCCAGACUCUUCCCCCUUCCCACUUCCCUAAAAGCAUCCAGGAACUACCUAUACCUCAGGCACUAAAGCCUUUACCAUCCUAUGGCAAAAAGCUACCAGCAAAAAACGUGGUAAAUGUUUUUCCUUGACUUUAUUCAAUGGGUCUUGGAUUUUCCAAGGCAACUUAGAGGAGCUGGUUAUCCACCACCCUCUGCAUUUUAUUGUGAUUUUAGUACUUAACCUAUUAAGCUAUGCUGGAAAAUCCAAUAUUUUGUGACGAGAUUUUAAAUGUCUUUUCUAACUGAUUGCAGGCACGGCACUUUUAAAGGCAAAAGCCUUCCUUGUUUUCUGUUUUGUUGUGCAUGUGAAGGGUUAACUGUAGUUGAGACUGUGUAAUAUUUGGUUUCUUAGUUGUCAGCUGGUAUCAGUGUAUCUGAAUUCCCAAUAUGAUAACUGUAUCCUGUGUAAUGCACCUGGGUUAAAAGGAACUACGUACCCAGUGGGAUUUUUAAAUGGUGUCACUGCUAGAACUGGGAGGAACACCAUCCCCUACCAACAAGGUUCAAACAUCAAGUUUCCUUUCUAACAAUGCUCAAGCAUCAUUAGUAAUAACCACAAAGUGCAUGGCUGAUGCUGCAGGGAUGCAGAGGCAGUUCCUGCAGGAUAACUGAUCCUAUCGAGUUACUUUACAGCAGGUCAUGGUGUGGAGGGCAUGAGUUCAGAGAGGGGCAGUGUGUAUAUAUUCCUGGGGGAUGGGAGAUAAAGAUCCACAGAAUAUCUAAUGGGAAGCAUCCAGUCUCACCUGGGAGCGAGGGGGUUAAAGGCAAUCCCAGCCCUGAUGCCUCUACAGACUUGUGCAAUGGGGAAGGAACCAUUUUCCCCGAUGUCCAGUAAACAAAUGGCAAUUGGAGUAGGGACAUUGGGAGCCCUAUCUUUCACAUGUGGCAUUAUUUCUCCUUGGCCUGUGUUUUGGAACAUAUCUCUACAGGAGAUUAACUGGCUAACUUGAUUUCCCUGUGGGUCUCAGAGCCAUAGGCAUUUGUUACUUAUCCUAAGCUGGGGUAUGAUGUUCUGCUGUUAAAAGCUGUUACUUGUUGUCGGUUAGAGUAUUUUUGCCACACAGAUCCAGACAGAAAUCCUUAUUCUGGAAGUUACAAAGUGUUCCCACUAACUGGGCACUGCAGGCAGGGUGAGCUUGCAGAAAGCAGGGCUGGGUCUGGGCAGCUUUCUGGGUAGCUCUGAAUCACGCUGCCCUCUCUGCUCAAGGCACUGGUCCUGCUCUCCUGACUGUUCUCAGCAUCAAUAGAGCAGUGGCAGAAUCCCAUCUCCCUUUUGGGGACAUCCCUUAUUUUGGAUACCAGUGUUCCCCACUCCUUGUAAGUGCAACUCUCUGUUCUGCUGGAGUAGUACAACUCACUUCCCCUGCCUGCACUGGGCAGCAGUGGAGAACUCACUCUCCUCUUGGGCUGGAUUUGGAGCCCAAGGCUGUGGGGGCACAAACCACUUUCCUCAGCAGUAGCUAAGAAUGAUGUGCAGUCAAAUCUCAAUUACUUUGUGCAAAAAUGGCUCAUGUUUCACCUGGCUAAUUCCCUGCCUGAACCAAGGAGGCUGUGCUGGACCUGUUCCUGUCUUUCUGUCAGUGCAGGGAGCACUUCCAUUUAGUUUCCCUCUGCAUGGGCUACCUCCUGUGUGCCAGGACACUGGCAAUGCCAGCCAUGGCCAGGUGGAGAUUUACUAUGUGGCUGCAGAACAUGCCACCCACAGCCACCUGGACCAUCCUUUCUGAGACACUGGGAUGCUCCUCCCAGCCAUCUCCUCCCGCAUGCUGUGGGAGGACCUCAGUGCCACCUGUGCUAGGCCAGGUGAAUGAGAAGCCUUACUUGUGAGGUGGAGAAAAUGUCAGCCCAGCCCUAAAAGUGGCAAGCAGGCCAUGAAGGGGUUAACCCUUCUCCUGAAAUCCCACAUCUCUGGUGCUGCAGUGUCCCUCCACUCCUGCCCCCGGGGACUUAAAUGUCCUUCUCCAUCUGUGUCUAUUCCUCCUUGUUCGAUGGGGAAGGCUGCAAAUGGGGAAAUGCAGGGUCAGCGUUGGGUGAGAGUUUUGGGGGAAGCCUGUGCUUGCUCGACUGCAGACAGAAGCUGUCACGGCUUGGGAAGCAAAGCAGAGCCCAAGGCAGAUUUGCAUUAUAAGCAGUGGCUCAGCUGCUUCUGCCAAGCCCUCAGGCUCCUCAGCACUGGCACAUACUCCCCCCAAAACCCGGAGCUGGAGGCAGAGGACAGAGAGGCUCUCGCUGCCCAUGGCUGCCUAGAGUGACUGUGCAGAGCACAGCCCCUGUGGCACCCCAGGAGUCCCGAGGAGCAGGAUUGGGUUUGUUCCCAGCAGCACUGCGGUAUCUCGUCCGGAUGUUGGUGGGUGAGAGGCGGAGGAGGCUGGUGAAGGGUAUUAUUAGAAUAGUAAUUAGGUCCUGGAAGCAGAGAUCCCAGGAAAGGAGGAAAUGGAGAUCAUUCAGUGCUAUUGCACUGGCUCGAAACCAUGUGAGUUUCAGUGCUGUGAAGAAUUUCAGAAAAGACAGGAGGGAGGGGAGGAUUGUUCAUCUUACAAAUCCAAGGAGGCAGGUAGGGACUGUUGGCAUUAAUGCCAGCACUUUCUAUUAAGGCAGGAGGCCACGCUCAGAGAACCAGAGCAGUGAGCAAGUGAGUGUGAAAUGGUGCAGGGGUCUCUUGUUGGCUGCAAUAGUUGUGGAUCAAUGCAGAGGUCAGGAAUCAGGCACUUUAUGGGUGGGUUUGUAGCAGACAGCAGGAUGCUUGUGUACAUGUAUGUUCAUGUGGGAGGCUCCCCUCAAUCCACCUGCCAAGAGAGAUAGAAGGUGAAUUGUCUCAAAUAGUUUCUUUCUGGGACAUUCCUGUGUCUGGUGCCCCAACCUGGAAGAAAGCUGCUGGUCUACUGUUGGCCAACAUGUAAAAAUUCUGGUGUGUCCAGCCAGAGUAUAACAGGCAAGUACCUGCACAGGAAAGGUCACUCCACAGCCCCCUCAUUUCUCCUUUUCUUCACCAUUUUAGCAAGAGAUUGAGCACCAGCUGGUCCUCAAUCCCAUCAGGACUCCCAUGUGCAGUCCCAGUCAGACAAAGUUUAGGGUCAUUAGCACUGUGGUGACAACUCUUUCCAUUGCCUGUAGCAAUGUGACAGCAGGAUGGGCACUCCUGCUGGAAUAGGGGAAUCUUCUCCCCAGACUCUUCUUAUAUUGUGGUGAUCUGCCUGUUAGUUUGAGAUCCCAUUCAUCUUUUUUGUCAAUACAGUGACAUUACAUCAGAUAUGGCCAAAUCUACCUCAGCCCCAUCUGUGUUGGCUUUUUCUCUCCAUUCUUUCCAAGCCAGGUCAUUAGCAAAAGUAAACUCAAAAAUAUUUUGCAAUAUUUUCCUGCAACCUGACCAUCUUGAAAAAUCCCUGUGCUUGCAUGGCAAAUAUGUUGGUGACUUUGUUAAUCAAAAAGGGUGCUGGGUGCUGUGUGGUGAUGUUUACAUUCUGCAUAUCUGCACACUGAGUAAGUGUCGCUCAGACCUGUAUUUCUGAACUUGGGAAAAAGAAUAAACACAAGAGAGAAACAGGGAGAGGGUAAAGUCUUUUCUGAUCUUUCGAUUUAGGUUGGUUCUGUAAGUUACAUCUCUUUAAUUUCAAUUUUGAUGAGUAACAUUGUAAGGAUCUGAAUUGUCUGUAUGCGCGAGCUUUUGGUUUUGGUGAGAAGCACUUCAGUGAGUGCAGUGGGGUGGUGUGAGUGAGUGAGUGAGUGAGAGAGUGAGUCAGUGAGUGAGUGAGUGAGUGAGUGAGUGAGUGAGUGAGUGAGUGAGUGAGUGAAAACGUGCAGGUGUGUGUGUGCACUGUGUGAGUGCCUGCCCUCUUGCCAUAUGUGUCUGCCUGCCCUCUCAUCGCACACGCGUGAGUGUCUGCCUGCCCUCUCCUGGCAAAUCCGCAACCGACCGGCAGCUCCCACCGCUGCCCUCCUCGCACCAGCAGUGAGCCAUGCCCUUCGGAAGCAGCCUUUUCACGCGGUCAGUGUGUGUGUCCCAGGCCCUGUGCUGCUGACAGCAUCAUUAGCAGGAAGGACAGGCCAGAUUCUGACCUCAAUUACACCUGCCUGCACCUGAAGUAACACUUUUUAAGUUGGUUCCAUCACUACAGAUGUUUGUUGGUCUAAAGGAAAACAAACUGUUUGUGCAUUUGUGUACUUCAAGGCUCCAUAACUUUAGCAUACGAAGAAAUGUGACACUUAAUCUCUGAAAACAUUUUUUACAUUUUUUGUACUCUGAAUGUAUAUAGAUAUAUAUUUUCCAUCUCUAAAAUCAACGGCAUUUCCCUGUUCCCAGUUCCCUUUGCGUUUCUGGAAUCAGCAUAGCAGUGACAGAUGCUGUUGGUCACUUAUUAAGACUGAAUGUUGCCAUUCCCAAGUACAAAUGAAUGUUCAUUGUAUGAUACAACUUUCUUAUAAAGCCAUACUUUUGUAAUUUUGGUUUCUCUUUUUUAAGGGGGGAAGAAUCUUACCCAUAAUUGUGUUUGCACAUUACUCGCUGCAUGAGUAAAGGUAAAACAAUUGUAACUUGCUGGAAUAAACUAUAUAUACAUAGCCUAAUAUAAUUAUGUACACUAGCUGUGAAAAUAAUUCAGUCUUGAUUGUAUUAAUAUAAUAAACUUGAAAUAUAAAA